This 497-nucleotide ribosomal RNA is filed under the name uncultured bacterium. Its description in RNAcentral is "partial 16S ribosomal RNA". It matches the Rfam family "Bacterial small subunit ribosomal RNA", at positions 28 to 507 of the family's 1533-position model. The record is from RNAcentral.
GACGAACGCUGGCGGCGUGCCUAAUACAUGCAAGUAGAACGCUGAAGAGAGGAGCUUACUCUUCUUGGAUGAGUUGCGAACGGGUGAGUAACGCGUAGGUAACCUGCCUUGUAGCGGGGGAUAACUAUUGGAAACGAUAGCUAAUACCGCAUAACAAUGGAUGACACAUGUCAUUUAUUUGAAAGGGGCAAUUGCUCCACUACAAGAUGGACCUGCGUUGUAUUAGCUAGUAGGUGAGGUAAUGGCUCACCUAGGCGACGAUACAUAGCCGACCUGAGAGGGUGGUCGGCCAGCCUGGGACUGAGACACGGCCCAGACUCCUACGGGAGGCAGCAGUAGGGAAUCUUCGGCAAUGGGGGCAACCCUGACCGAGCAACGCCGCGUGAGUGAAGAAGGUUUUCGGAUCGUAAAGCUCUGUUGUAAGUCAAGAACGGGUGUGAGAGUGGAAAGUUCACACUGUGACGGUAGCUUACCAGAAAGGGACGGCUAACUACGUG